AGACGAAGGUGGCAAACGUUGCUCGGAAUUACUGGGCAUAAAGCGCGCGUAGGUGGCUUGGUAAGCGGGGGAUGAAAUCCCAUGGCUCACCCAUGGAACUGUUCUCCGAACUACCUUGCUUGAGGACGGGAGGGGGAAGCGGAAUUCCUGGUGUAGCGGUGAAAUGCGUAGAUAUCAGGAGGAACGCCGGUGGCGAAAGCGGCUUCCUGGUCCGUUCCUGACACUGAGGCGCGAAAGCUAGGGGAGCAAACAGGAUUAGAUACCCCGGUAGUCC
This 274-nucleotide ribosomal RNA is filed under the name uncultured bacterium. RNAcentral's name for it is "partial 16S ribosomal RNA". It matches the Rfam family "Bacterial small subunit ribosomal RNA", at positions 523 to 796 of the family's 1533-position model. The record is from RNAcentral.